This 478-nucleotide ribosomal RNA is filed under the name uncultured bacterium. Its description in RNAcentral is "partial 16S ribosomal RNA". It matches the Rfam family "Bacterial small subunit ribosomal RNA", at positions 28 to 507 of the family's 1533-position model. The record is from RNAcentral.
GAUGAACGCUGGCGGCGUGCCUAACACAUGCAAGUCGAACGGAGUCCAGCCUUUAAGACCUUCGGGUCAAAGAGGGGAAGACUGAGUGGCGGACGGGUGAGUAACACGUGGGCAACCUGGCUCAUAGAGGGGGAUAACAGAGAGAAAUUUCUGCUAAUACCGCAUAAGCACACACUGCCGCAUGGCAGAGGGUGAAAAGAGAAUCGCUAUGAGAUGGACCCGCGUCUGAUUAGCCAGUUGGCAGGGUAAGAGCCUACCAAAGCGACGAUCAGUAGCCGAUCUGAGAGGAUGAACGGCCACAUUGGGACUGAGACACGGCCCAAACUCCUACGGGAGGCAGCAGUGGGGGAUAUUGCACAAUGGGGGGAACACUGAUGCAGCGACGCCGCGUGAGUGAAGAAGUAUUUCGGUAUGUAAAGCUCUAUCAGCAGGGAAGAUAAUGACAGUACCUGAAGAAGAAGCCCCGGCUAACUACGUG